RNAcentral lists this long non-coding RNA (626 nucleotides) under Aquilegia coerulea. RNAcentral's name for it is "long non-coding RNA (ACOE_LNC002055)". The record is from RNAcentral. Lineage: Eukaryota; Viridiplantae; Streptophyta; Magnoliopsida; Ranunculales; Ranunculaceae.
CUUGCUUAAUCUAAUCUAAUGACUAAGAUCAAAACUUAAAUCACUUGAAUCAAAUAACACAAAGAGGGGUAUAAUCCUUCGUUAACAUUAAAUCCCCAUGAAAUUACACCCAAAAGAGGUUUCUGUUUCCAUUUACUCUCACUCUCUUUGCUUGGCUGAACAACUCUUUGGUUUUCCCCAGUCCAUACUUUUUUCCCCUUCAUCUGUUUGCAAUCAUACAACCUCUAGUUAUAUAAAGCUUGGACUUUUCUUCUUUUUUGAAGCAAAAUUAGUUUUCCAUUUACUGAAGCUAGCAUGUUCAAUUGUCGUUUCAAUUGCAUGCUGCAUGCCACAACUUCAGUGAUCUUCAGCAAUAUAAAAUCCUCCGAAAAAUUAACAGAAUCAGGAAAAUAAGGAGCUUACAGAGUACUAAAUGCUCCAACAUUCUCAACCCCAUCUUCCUUCCUAUUUUGCUGUUACAAACCAAUAACAUGUCUUCAAUAUAAAUUACAGUAAUCAUUCACAUAAACACAAUUUUUUACUGCAGAAUUGACAAAUUCUACCUUAUAACGUUGAAUUUAGUAAUUUACAGUCUUCCACAACCCUCAAUCAAUAGAAACAUAGUACACCAAGAGCAUAAUCUUUCU